CCUACGGGGGGCUGCAGUGGGGAAUUUUUGGCAAUGGGGGAAACCCUGACCAAGCAACGCCGCGUGGGUGAUGAAGUAUUUUGGUACGUAAAACCCUUUCGGCAGGGACGAAGCGAGUGACGGUACCUGCGGAAGAAGCUCCGGCCAACUCCGUGCCAGCAGCCGCGGUAAUACGGGGGGAGCAAGCGCUGUUCGGAAUUACUGGGCGUAAAGGGCGCGUAGGCGGCCGGACAAGUAAGUGGUGAAAUCCCCGGGCUCAACUUGGGGUCGGCCAUUUAAACUGUGUGGCUGGAGUGCAGGAGAGGGCAGCGGAAUUCCUGGUGUAGCGGUGAAAUGCGUAGAGAUCAGGAGGAACACCGGCGGCGAAGGCGGCUGCCUGGACUGCGACUGACGCUGAGGCGCGAAAGCUAGGGGAGCAAACAGGAUUAGAUACCCCAGUAGUCA
RNAcentral lists this ribosomal RNA (444 nucleotides) under uncultured bacterium. RNAcentral describes it as "bacterial SSU rRNA". It matches the Rfam family "Bacterial small subunit ribosomal RNA", at positions 338 to 796 of the family's 1533-position model. The record is from RNAcentral.